GAGUUUCAUUUCAGGGAAAAAUUUCUCUGUUCUGAGAUGCAGUUGGAAAGACUGAACUUUAAGUCAAUCUAAAGAACACAGAGAAAUAGAAUACUUAAUAUUGAAAACACUGAAAAUAAUGAGAACAGGAGAAGAAACUGGCUGCUUCAGAGCCAUAUUAGUAGUGUAGCAGAAAAUGAUGGGUGGAAUCUUUAAAGCUCAUGAAUAAAUUUGGAGCACAGUUUUCCGAAAAAUAGAAUGUCUGACUCCUCCUAUAAGGUAAACCUGAGAAACUUUGAGUAGUUCAUGUAUCCUAACUCAUAACAUCUGAUUUUUGUUCCAAGAUUCUGUAAGGCAUAACUAGAUAGACAUACGUUUAGCUUUUUGGAGGUCUCACUAUCUUUAUCUCUCAAAACUUCAAUACAGAUGCAACUCUUACUUCAGUAGUUUUCUUUUAGGAAUGCCAAUAAAAGCACUUCACCAAAAUGGAUAUUACUUUUUUUUUCUGUUCAUCAUCAGUCUAAACCUAUUUUUGUGGAAAUAACCCAAAUAUAAUCCUGCUUCAUUCUCAUUCUUUUCAGAUUUUUUUUUGAUAAAAUUAUACUGCUGUAUCUUUGGAUGAUUCCAGCUAAUUUCAGCUGUGGUAGAGAUUUUCUUGCAAAGGCAUUUCAUUUACAUCUCAGUUCUGUUUGCAGUCUCAACAAAGCUGUUAUAAGUCCUACAAAAAAAAGCAGAAAUAACAUCCUCUUGAAGCAAUUGGUUGGCCAGUCAUACUUCUGAGUGCAAAUCUUCCAAAGGAGCUGCAGGUCACAGGAUGCAGGAAAGCAGUUGCACACAGAAAAAUUGUUUUCUUGGGCUAUCGUUUACCUUUUAAUCCUCUUAUUCUUUUCUCUGCAGAAUAAAAUGUUGUGGUAGUUUAGGUUGUUGUUGUAU
RNAcentral lists this long non-coding RNA (912 nucleotides) under Phasianus colchicus (ring-necked pheasant). Its description in RNAcentral is "lncRNA (ENSPCLG00000021046.1)". The record is from RNAcentral. Lineage: Eukaryota; Metazoa; Chordata; Aves; Galliformes; Phasianidae.